CUAACGAAUAAGGGGUGGGCAAGUUCUGGUGUCAGCCGCCGCGGUAAAACCAGCACCUCAAGUGGUCAGGAUGAUUAUUGGGCCUAAAGCAUCCGUAGCCGGCUCUGUAAGUUUUCGGUUAAAUCUGUACGCUCAACGUACAGGCUGCCGGGAAUACUGCAGAGCUAGGGAGUGGGAGAGGUAAACGGUACUCGGGAGGAAGUGGUAAAAUGCUUUGAUCUCUCGAUGACCACCUGUGGCGAAGGCGGUCUACCAGAACACGUCCGACGGUGAGGGAUGAAAGCUGGGGGAGCAAACCGGAUUAGAUACCCGGGUAGUCCCAGCUGUAAACUAUGCAAACUCAGUGAUGCAUUGGCUUGUGGCCAAUGCAGUAUUGCAGGGAAGCCGUUAAGUUUGCCGCCUGGGAAGUACGUACGCAAGUAUGAAACUUAAAGGAAUUGGCGGGGGAGCACCACAAGGGGGA
This 463-nucleotide ribosomal RNA is filed under the name uncultured marine group I thaumarchaeote. Its description in RNAcentral is "bacterial SSU rRNA". It matches the Rfam family "Archaeal small subunit ribosomal RNA", at positions 428 to 890 of the family's 1478-position model. The record is from RNAcentral. Lineage: Archaea; Thermoproteati; Nitrososphaerota.